UAGGUCCGUAGCUCAAAUGGCUAGAGCACCGGACUCCAAAUCCGGCGGUUGCGGGUUCGAGUCCUGCCGGGCCUGCCCA
RNAcentral lists this transfer RNA (79 nucleotides) under subsurface metagenome. RNAcentral describes it as "tRNA-Trp". It matches the Rfam family "tRNA". From Rfam's summary of the family: Transfer RNA (tRNA) molecules are approximately 80 nucleotides in length. Their secondary structure includes four short double-helical elements and three loops (D, anti-codon, and T loops). The record is from RNAcentral.